GAACGCUUUAGCUACGAGGCUUAACACAUGCAAGUCGGCGGGGCAGCAUGACGAUUGCUGCAAUUGUUGAGUGGCGACCGGCGCGACGGGUGAGUAACGCGUAUCCAACCUUCCCCAUAGUAGGGUAUAGCCCGGCGAAAGUCGGAUUAAUCCCCUAUGUUGUUUGAAGCGGACAUCUAAUUCAAACCAAAGAUUCAUCGCUAUGGGAUGGGGAUGCGUCUGAUUAGGUUGCAGGCGGGGUAACGGCCCACCUGGCCGACGAUCAGUAGGGGUUCUGAGAGGAAGGUCCCCCACACUGGUACUGAGACACGGACCAGACUCCUACGGGAGGCAGCAGUGAGGAAUAUUGGUCAAUGGGCGCGAGCCUGAACCAGCCAAGUAGCGUGCAAGGAUGACGGCCCUACGGGUUGUAAACUGCUUUUAUGCGGGGAUAAAGUGCGGCACGUGUGCCGUUUUGCAGGUACCGCAUGAAUAAGGACCGGCUAAUUCCGUGCCAGCAGCCGC
Molecule: ribosomal RNA, 504 nt
Filed under: uncultured bacterium
Lineage: Bacteria
Description: bacterial SSU rRNA
Rfam family: Bacterial small subunit ribosomal RNA
Source: RNAcentral